Molecule: small nuclear RNA, 82 nt
Filed under: Ochotona princeps (American pika)
Lineage: Eukaryota; Metazoa; Chordata; Mammalia; Lagomorpha; Ochotonidae
Source: RNAcentral
GUGCUCACUUCGGCAGCACAUAUACUAAAAUUGGCCCCUGUGCAAGGAUGACACACAAACUUGUGAAGCGUUCCAUAUUAAA